RNAcentral lists this ribosomal RNA (492 nucleotides) under uncultured bacterium. RNAcentral's name for it is "partial 16S ribosomal RNA". It matches the Rfam family "Bacterial small subunit ribosomal RNA", at positions 29 to 507 of the family's 1533-position model. The record is from RNAcentral.
AGUGAACGCUGGCGGUAGGCCUAACACAUGCAAGUCGAACGGCAGCACAGUAAGAGCUUGCUCUUACGGGUGGCGAGUGGCGGACGGGUGAGGAAUACAUCGGAAUCUACUUUUUCGUGGGGGAUAACGUAGGGAAACUUACGCUAAUACCGCAUACGACCUACGGGUGAAAGCAGGGGAUCUUCGGACCUUGCGCGAUUGAAUGAGCCGAUGUCGGAUUAGCUAGUUGGCGGGGUAAAGGCCCACCAAGGCGACGAUCCGUAGCUGGUCUGAGAGGAUGAUCAGCCACACUGGAACUGAGACACGGUCCAGACUCCUACGGGAGGGCGCAGUGUGGAAUAUUGGACAAUGGGCGCAAGCCUGAUCCAGCCAUACCGCGUGGGUGAAGAAGGCCUUCGGGUUGUAAAGCCCUUUUGUUGGGAAAGAAAAGCAGCAGGUUAAUACCCCGCUGUUCUGACGGUACCCAAAGAAUAAGCACCGGCUAACUUCGUG